ACGAACGCUGGCGGCGUGCUUAACACAUGCCAGUAGAACGGAAAGGCCCUGCUUUUGUGGGGUGCUCGAGUGGCGAACGGGUGAGUAACACGUGAGUAACCUGCCCUUGACUUUGGGAUAACUUCAGGAAACUGGGGCUAAUACCGGAUAGGAGCUCCUGCUGCAUGGUGGGGGUUGGAAAGUUUCGGCGGUUGGGGAUGGACUCGCGGCUUACCAGCUUGUUGGUGGGGUAGUGGCUUACCAAGGCUUUGACGGGUAGCCGGCCUGAGAGGGUGACCGGCCACAUUGGGACUGAGAUACGGCCCAGACUCCUACGGGAGGCAGCAGUGGGGAAUAUUGCACAAUGGGCGGAAGCCUGAUGCAGCAACGCCGCGUGCGGGAUGACGGCCUUCGGGUUGUAAACCGCUUUCGCCUGUGACGAAGCGUGAGUGACGGUAAUGGGUAAAGAAGCACCGGCUAACUACGUG
This 467-nucleotide ribosomal RNA is filed under the name uncultured bacterium. Its description in RNAcentral is "partial 16S ribosomal RNA". It matches the Rfam family "Bacterial small subunit ribosomal RNA", at positions 29 to 507 of the family's 1533-position model. The record is from RNAcentral.